Molecule: ribosomal RNA, 114 nt
Filed under: Streptococcus agalactiae
Lineage: Bacteria; Bacillati; Bacillota; Bacilli; Lactobacillales; Streptococcaceae
Source: RNAcentral
AGUGAUAAUUGCCUAGGAGAUACACCUGUUUUCAUGCCGAACACAGAAGUUAAGCCCUAGAACGCCGGAAGUAGUUGGGGGUUGCCCCCUGUGAGAUAAGGUAGUCGCUUAGCA